Carya illinoinensis is the source of this 969-nucleotide long non-coding RNA. RefSeq lists it as uncharacterized. The record is from RefSeq and is a predicted model, not a curated record. NCBI's taxonomy places the organism in Eukaryota, Viridiplantae, Streptophyta, Magnoliopsida, Fagales, Juglandaceae. The transcript is spliced from 3 exons.
UCCAUAACCAAAAUUGCUGAUUCCAUCCAAUUUCACACGGGAAGUCAAAACGUAAUCUGGGCUCUAGAGUCCACCAAAGUUAAACCCGCGAUGAAUCGAGCUCCACACGAGCCUUGAGGCUCUGCAGUGUGCACACCAGGAGAGAAAAUAUUGGUGGUUCUCGUUCACCCAUGCUCAAUCUUGGGUGGUUGUCAGGGCCUCUUGAAAAAAGUAUCUGCUGGGCUGGGAGAGAAAGGUUACAAGGCCGUGACCCUUGACAUGAGAGCCGCUGGGAUGUUAAAGUGGGAGGCCUUCUCUCACUGGGUUAUACAAAAUCGAGAUUGUUGUACAUGUCUUCAAGUGGGUCUGUGAGAAUCUGUCUGUCGACAGGAUUUAACGAGUGGGCUCUUCUGCAGGUACUCCAAUUGCCGGUAAGGCGGGGGGUAGCGGGUCUCUACUACUUGGCCUGUCCGUGCUGCAAGGGUCUAGGCGAGAAAAUCUGCCCUUCAACCUGGGCGCGUUCGGGUGGACUCAGUACUAUUGUUUGGCUCAAUGACGUUGGACAUCAAUAUUGUCUAUAGACGAUGGGAUAGCUUUGUUACACAGAUUCACAGCAUCUUUCAUGAGGAUCAGAUUGUUCUUUUGGAUUCUCUGUGCCAUCACGGUAAAAAAAACUGGCCAGCUGUCCAAAGAACUUGGCUUGUUAACCAAGUAUUACAGCCCAAUAAUGUGAGAGAGAGAGAGAGAGAGAGAGCAUGCAUUAUCAAAAUAAUAUUUACAUGGUCAAGUCAUCUUACACAAGCAUUUUCCCAGCUAAGUUAAACUAACAAAAUAACCAAGCCUAAUUUUCUAACCAACAGACCACAAGCCAAGCAUAAAACUUGGUGAUUUUUACAUUACACGGCAUGCUACAUGUAUAUACAUACAUAGGUGUUGAAGUAAACUGUAUGUCAUGGCCUUAUUCUUGUGCAUCGUAGAUGCGACUCUACC